UAGAAUGUUGAUCUCUCUGUUGGAACACAACUUGGCUAUAGUUUUCUAACAGCCUUGUCUACACAUGUAACCAGUUUACUCUUAAGUCCCUGGAUUAGUUAGUCAAAAGGUGCUCUAGAGAAACAGAACCAAAGAAUGUGUAUACAGAGGCAUAUUUAUUUCAAAGAAUUGGCUCAUGUAAUUGUGAAAGCUUGGUUAAGGCCAAAAUUAAGCAGGGCAGAGACUUAGGAAAGAGUUGCAGUUGUGUUCAAAAGCAGUCAGCUGGCUGAAUUUAUCCUCACUUGGAAAAGAAAUGAAUGAGUGAUACAAUUACAUCACAUCCUCAUCAGUUUUUGAUGUCAUCGCAAUUUUUAGGCCAUUG
RNAcentral lists this long non-coding RNA (361 nucleotides) under Homo sapiens (human). RNAcentral describes it as "HSALNT0271859". The record is from RNAcentral. Lineage: Eukaryota; Metazoa; Chordata; Mammalia; Primates; Hominidae.